Long non-coding RNA from Carassius gibelio (silver crucian carp), 2790 nucleotides. RefSeq lists it as uncharacterized. The transcript has 5 exons. The record is from RefSeq and is a predicted model, not a curated record. NCBI's taxonomy places the organism in Eukaryota, Metazoa, Chordata, Actinopteri, Cypriniformes, Cyprinidae.
UACUUUAUACUCUAAAGUUAAAAGUUUUUAUUAAGGUUAUUGUAAAGGCUUCUUAAAAAUGCUGUCGCUGAUGAGCCUCUGAUCGCUGUCAGAUUCUGUGAUAUGAAUGUCCGCUAAUGGGCUUAGAAUGAGCCCCGCUCGGCCAGUGUUCUGGCUUACUGUAAUAUUUCACCGGUAAUAAGACCGAAAUAAUAUAAUUAAAAUAAAGAAAUGAAUGAAUACAUGAUAACAUCUAAAUAAAUGUUGAUAGAUUUAGCGUUAUAGUUUUAAAAAUAUUAAUAAACAGCAAAUCAACACAGCUUCGAAAUAAUAACCGAGAAAGACCUAAAUAAUAAUAAUACAUAAUUAAUAAACAGCGCCGCCCCUCCCACCACGCGCAUCACGCGCAUCACGCGCUGUGCGUCAACCCCAAAGCGUCAAAAACUGAAGCGUGGUCAAGCGCCACUGACGUGAGAUGUUUAUCGCUUUGAAAUCACGUUCAAGAAGUCUCAUUCAGCACACAUCGCGAUACUUUCCAUCAGUUUACAAGAGCCGCAGGUUGGGUGAGUUAUACAGUCUAUGGUGAGUAGUAGUAAAUAUGCUCUUUUAAUGCCUGUCAUAAAAUGUAUUCUGUCUUCUUUAUUAAUCAGAUGAGCGCCUUAUGUUUACUCUCUGUAUUACAUCGGUCAUCCGAGGCUGUCUUUGAGUUUCGUUGUGUUUAACUAAAUGAACACAGCUGCUAACUGGUUAAACUCUAUCGGUCACGUGACGUGACGUGCCACAGACCGGGGAUCCGUUUUAUAUUCAUUUCAGGUUCAAAGAUGUAAGUUGUAUUUGUAGUAAAAUCAUGGUAACCAUGACACCUACAAUAGUAGGUAAAACCCAGUAAACAAGACAUUUACCAUGUUUUUUGUUUUUGUUUUUGUUUUUUACCACAGUAACUGUAGUUUUACUGUGGUAUAGUAAUAGCACAAUAAUCACCAAAAUAACUAUAGUUGUACCACUGUAAUGGUAGUGUUUUAAUGUGCUUUUAUAUGACAUAUUUCACAGUAAUCACAUUUACUGUACCAUGCUUGUAAUACAUUUUUAAUGUAAAUAAAAAAAAAAAAAAAAACAUUUUUCCCAUCUUGCAGUUCAAUUCAUAUUGGUUUAUAUCUUAAAUAUUUUGCUCACAGAUCACUAUAAACAUUCUGUAUAUAAUUCUGUUUUAUUUUCUUUCCCCUUGUAUUAAUUUCUUAGCUGAAAAGGCGUAAAGGAAGCAGUCACCCCAGUGGUGCUUGUGGAGAGGUAUUCCUUCAGAAAUUGAGAAGACAGAAAGCUGCAGAGGCAGGAUUGUUUGCAGAUAAUGCUGUUCUUCUUUUUCAGAAGUUUUUGGGGAGCCAACCCUCACAAACCUUCCUAAAAACUUAAAGAGCUAUUACUGAGUCUCAGCGACUCUUGCCACGAUCAGCUCUUCCCAGAAGAGAAGGAAGACCAAGGAAAUGAUUUGCUCAGGAUGAGAAAUGAAGAUGGUCAUCUUGUGCUCAAGCAAACAGAAGUCCUCUGAUGAUCUCAUCAACCAAAUGAGGGGUUUUGACCAAGUGAUGCUCUUGAAAGGACUGAAAGAAGAGGAUGUGGUAAAUUGUCUUCAGAGAAAAAGCUUCUCAAAAGAUCUUAAAACAGCUUGAAGAAUGGUCUGGGAUCUUAGGACUGGGAGAUCUCACUGGCACCCAGUUAACCUCCAUAGAGAACAUUUAUCAGAAGCGCUGUCUGGGUAGGGCAAGAAACAUCAUCAAGGAUGCCUCUCACCCUAACCAUGGACCUUUCACCCUCCUUCCAUCCGGCAGGCGUUACAGAAGCCUACGCUCUCGCACUAGUAGACUCAGGAAGAGCUUCUUCCCUGAGGCUUUGACACUCCUGAACUCCACACCACCAAUCUAACCUGCACCUGCUCUUUUACUGCACUGGUCACGUACUUUACAUUCAUGUAUUGCACUACUCAUAUUUUGCACAGACUGCACAUGGUUAAAUCCAUUACACUAUAAACUGUCUAAAGCUGUUACUGUACAAGCACAGUAAACUAUUUCUACAAUAAAUAUAAUUGCACUACUAUUAUUUUACAUAUAAUAAAUUGUUAAACUAUACUUUUGCACACUCAUUCAACUGUAUUUAUUACCACUGUUCUCAAGUUCCUGCUAUUCAUAAUGUAUAUAUAAUCCUUCUUUGCUCUGUUCAUAAUGUACAUACAAUCCCUACAUUACAUUCAUAUUUAUAUUCUGUAUAUACUCUGAUCAAUAUUGUAUAUAGCAACUCCACUGUAAAUUCUGUAUAUCAUAGCUUCACUUACUCUGCACUUAAGUAUAUAAAACACUAUAUUCUUGCACUUCUGGCUAGAUGCUAACUGCAUUUCAUUAGCUCUGUACUUGUACUCUGCAUAAUGACAAUAAAGUUGAAUCUAAUCUAAUCUAAUCUAAUCUAAUCUAAUCUUCUGGCUGAGAACAAGCUACACCACAUCAGUGCUGGAUAUCAACCAAAAGCUGUUUCCAGACACGAGAGAAGAUCACGAUGAAACCAGUUUAGAUGUGUUGAUAAGGAAUCAUUAUUUUCUGAAACAGUAUCAAAUGUCUUAUAUGUAUCACAUGAUCUGUAUCACAGUUGACUGGAUGGGACUGUGACUUUUAAGGACAUUUCAUCACUCAUCUGUGUGAACUGAUUAAUAUAUGAGGUUAAUGUAUUUUUGAUUAUGAAUAAUUAUUUUCCUUGAAUCUUAUUUGUCUUGAUGCUACUUUAUCAUCUUUAUAGUCUAUGCUUCAAUAAAAUGAAUAUGACGAA